Molecule: ribosomal RNA, 548 nt
Filed under: uncultured bacterium
Lineage: Bacteria
Description: bacterial SSU rRNA
Rfam family: Bacterial small subunit ribosomal RNA
Source: RNAcentral
UGGGGAAUAUUGGACAAUGGGCGAAAGCCUGAUCCAGCCAUGCCGCGUGUGUGAAGAAGGCCUUUUGGUUGUAAAGCACUUUAAGUGGGGAGGAAAAGCUUAUGGUUAAUACCCAUAAGCCCUGACGUUACCCACAAAAUAAGCACCGGCUAACUCUGUGCCAGCAGCCGCGGUAAUACAGAGGGUGCAAGCGUUAAUCGGAAUUACUGGGCGUAAAGCGCGCGUAGGUGGUUAUUUAAGUCAGAUGUGAAAGCCCCGGGCUUAACCUGGGAACUGCAUCUGAUACUGGAUAACUAGAGUAGGUGAGAGGGGAGUAGAAUUCCAGGUGUAGCGGUGAAAUGCGUAGAGAUCUGGAGGAAUACCGAUGGCGAAGGCAGCUCCCUGGCAUCAUACUGACACUGAGGUGCGAAAGCGUGGGUAGCAAACAGGAUUAGAUACCCUGGUAGUCCACGCCGUAAACGAUGUCUACCAGUCGUUGGGUCUUUUAAAGACUUAGUGACGCAGUUAACGCAAUAAGUAGACCGCCUGGGGAGUACGGCCGCAAGGUU